RNAcentral lists this ribosomal RNA (378 nucleotides) under uncultured bacterium. RNAcentral describes it as "bacterial SSU rRNA". It matches the Rfam family "Bacterial small subunit ribosomal RNA", at positions 28 to 407 of the family's 1533-position model. The record is from RNAcentral.
GACGAACGCUGGCGGCGUGCUUAACACAUGCAAGUCGAGCGGUAAGGCCCUUUCGGGGGUACACGAGCGGCGAACGGGUGAGUAACACGUGGGUGACCUGCCCUUAGCUCUGGGAUAAGCCUGGGAAACUAGGGUCUAAUACCGGAUAUGACUCCAUGACGCAUGUUGUGGGGUGGAAAGCCUUGUGCGGCUAGGGAUGGGCCCGCGGCCUAUCAGCUUGUUGGUGGGGUGAUGGCCACCAAGGCGACGACGGGUAGCCGGCCUGAGAGGGCGACCGGCCACACUGGGACUGAGACACGGCCCAGACUCCUACGGGAGGCAGCAGUGGGGAAUCUUGCGCAAUGGGCGAAAGCCUGACGCAGCGACGCCGCGUGGGGA